CAUUGUAGGCUUUGGAAACUGUUUAACUUGAGUGCAGAAGGGGAGAGUGGAAUUCCAUGUGUAGCGGUGAAAUGCGUAGAUAUAUGGAGGAACACCGGUGGCGAAAGCGGCUCUCUGGUCUGUAACUGACGCUGAGGCUCGAAAGCGUGGGGAGCGAACAGGAUUAGAUACCCUGGUAGUCCACGCCGUAAACGAUGAGUGCUAGGUGUUAGGUCCUUUCCGGGACUUAGUGCCGCAGCUAACGCAUUAAGCACUCCGCCUGGGGAGUACGACCGCAAGGUUGAAACUCAAAGGAAUUGACGGGGGCCCGCACAAGCGGUGGAGCAUGUGGUUUAAUUCGAAGCAACGCGAAGAACCUUACCAGGUCUUGACAUCCCGAUGCCCGCUCUAGAGAUAGAGCUUUACUUCGGUACAUCGGUGACAGGUGGUGCAUGGUUGUCGUCAGCUCGUGUCGUGAGAUGUUGGGUUAAGUCCCGCAACGAGCGCAACCCUUAUUGUUAGUUGCCAUCAUUCAGUUGGGCACUCUAGCGAGACUGCCGGUAAUAAACCGGAGGAAGGUGGGGAUGACGUCAAAUCAUCAUGCCCCUUAUGACCUGGGCUACACGCGUGCUACAAUGGCUGGUACAACGAGUCGCAAGCCGGUGACGGCAAGCUAAUCUCUGAAAGCCAGUCUCAGUUCGGAUUGUAGGCUGCAACUCGCCUACAUGAAGUCGGAAUCGCUAGUAAUCGCGGAUCAGCACGCCGCGGUGAAUACGUUCCCGGGCCUUGUACACACCGCCCGUCACACCACGCGAGUUUGUAACACCCGAAGNCGGUGAGGUAACCGUAAGGAGCCANCC
RNAcentral lists this ribosomal RNA (839 nucleotides) under uncultured bacterium. RNAcentral's name for it is "bacterial SSU rRNA". It matches the Rfam family "Bacterial small subunit ribosomal RNA", at positions 615 to 1454 of the family's 1533-position model. The record is from RNAcentral.